GAACGCUGGCGGCAUGCCUUACACAUGCAAGUCGAACGGCAGCACGGAGCAAUCCUGGUGGCGAGUGGCGAACGGGUGAGUAAUAUAUCGGAACGUGCCCGGUCGUGGGGAUAACGUAGCGAAAGUUACGCUAAUACCGCAUACGAUCUAAGGAUGAAAGCGGGGGAUCGCAAGACCUCGCGCGAUUGGAGCGGCCGAUAUCAGAUUAGGUAGUUGGUGGGGUAAAGGCUCACCAAGCCAACGAUCUGUAGCUGGUCUGAGAGGACGACCAGCCACACUGGAACUGAGACACGGUCCAGACUCCUACGGGAGGCAGCAGUGGGGAAUUUUGGACAAUGGACGCAAGUCUGAUCCAGCCAUUCCGCGUGCAGGAUGAAGGCCCUCGGGUUGUAAACUGCUUUUGUACGGAACGAAAAGGUUUCUCUUAAUACGAGGAGCUCAUGACGGUACCGUAAGAAUAAGCACCGGCUAACUACGUG
RNAcentral lists this ribosomal RNA (479 nucleotides) under uncultured bacterium. Its description in RNAcentral is "bacterial SSU rRNA". It matches the Rfam family "Bacterial small subunit ribosomal RNA", at positions 31 to 507 of the family's 1533-position model. The record is from RNAcentral.